AUCAAAGGAGUAAUCGUCGUAGAUCGUGCGUUAUCGAUAAUGUUCGGAGCCUGGAGAAAAUUGACAAUUGACAAGAGAAUUGCUUAUUAUUUUUGACUUUUUAGUUCGUUUAAUUUAAAAAUUACUAAAACCAGUAGUUCGAAAGAUAUAUUUAAAAAUAAAAGAUAAAAAUCCAAAAAAUUAAUUAUCUAUUAACGUGGAUUUGGACGACAAUAGGUUUUUAGUUUGUGAUGUUUCAUGUGAUGAUCAUCAUGUUCAUCGUCUUUGAAUUGACAUGAGGAUAUCUAUGGAAAAGUAACUAAUCUGAAAGUAAGCCAACAUAUCGUUUGUCCAUUGUGUGCUAACGAAAAGAUUUUCUUUUCGCAUCAUGAGGAAGUAUUACAUCAAUUGAAAAUUUUAGGAAGUUGAUCAUUUGUCAUGGAAAAGUAUACCAAUGGAAUUAUUUGUUAAAGAAGUAUAAUUCUAAGGGUUUUAAGAAUAAAUUGGUUGAACCCAAAAUCUGGAGGAAGUACCUAUAUCCAUACACAGAAUAUGCCCAUUAAAAAUACUAGUCCAAAUUUGCUUUAAUGGUAGACAAUUAUUCAAUACAAAUUAACUUUUUAAGUGACUGAAAUAUUAAAUAGUUUAGAAUAUGGUAUAACAAUGUAAAAAAAUAUUAUUUUCAGGAACGAUUAGGGCCCGAUAUAUUUGAAACUCAUGUUGGACAUAGUAUUGAGUUGGGUAGAAUAUUAUUCUACGUUAAGUGAGGGUAUCAGAUACCUAUUAUUGUACUGUAUUUUAAUAUAUACAUUAGAAUUGUUGGUUUUUU
Molecule: long non-coding RNA, 808 nt
Filed under: Sitophilus oryzae (rice weevil)
Lineage: Eukaryota; Metazoa; Arthropoda; Insecta; Coleoptera; Curculionidae
Description: uncharacterized LOC115877284
Source: RNAcentral